This 322-nucleotide ribosomal RNA is filed under the name uncultured eukaryote. RNAcentral's name for it is "partial 18S ribosomal RNA". It matches the Rfam family "Eukaryotic small subunit ribosomal RNA", at positions 1470 to 1796 of the family's 1831-position model. The record is from RNAcentral.
CCCUUAGAUGUUCUGGGCUGCACGCGUGCUACACUGAGUGGAUCAGCGGGUCAGGUUGCGCGAAAGUGUUUCCUAAUCUUUAAAUCCGCUCGUGAUGGGGAUUGACGGUUGCAAUUUUCCGUCAUGAACGAGGAAUACCUUGUAAGCGCGGGUCAUCAUCCCGCGCUGAAUACGUCCCUGCCCUUUGUACACACCGCCCGUCGCUCCUACCGAUUGAGUGGUCCGGUGAGGCUUUGGGAUCUGAGCGGAAAGAGCGUUUCGCUGUUUCUGCCCGGAAAACUCAGUCGAACCUUAUCAUUUAGAGGAAGGAGAAGUCGUAACA